Molecule: long non-coding RNA, 1488 nt
Filed under: Salvator merianae (Argentine black and white tegu)
Lineage: Eukaryota; Metazoa; Chordata; Lepidosauria; Squamata; Teiidae
Description: lncRNA (ENSSMRG00000022307.1)
Source: RNAcentral
GGAGAAGAUGCCUUGGCAUUGGCAAGCACCCCCUCCCGCUCCCCUCUCCUCCCCUCCCGCCACCCCCUCCUCCUCCUCCUCCUCCGAGGCCUGAUUGGUCCGAGUAAGACGCUGCUGCUCUGACGUCAGCCAGCCUGCCAGUAGACGAAGCGUUCUUGGAAAAGGACCAGUGGUGCUUUCGGAGCGAAGCGGAGCUGUCUGCGCGCAAGGGAGGAAGGAAGCCACCGGCUUCGCGCAUCCUCCCUUCUCUCCCCCCCCCCANCCAGCCAGCCAGCCCGAAUUUUGUUCCCCGAGAUCCAGGCGGGAAAUGAGGAGCGGGGGAGGCCCUCACGGCGACAGCGGACUGUCAGGGGCUGGGAAGAGCGGAGGUGCAGCUUUCCCCCGUCGCCUCCUUCACCACCGCCACCCCCCACGGUCGCCAAGGACUGCUUCUGCCUCUGCUUCUGCUUCGCCUGGCUCUGCCUGCCGUCGCCCAGGCUCGAGGGGUCGCGUGUCAUUUUCCCAGGGAGUUCCAAGAACUUGAAAAGCUGUGAUUACUUGAUCCAAUUUGCAACUGAUGAAAGCCCAUUUCCUUGGUUGAUGUGGGCCUGAUAUGUAACUCAGCUGUCUUCAGGAUACCUUAGAAAGAGAACUUCUGAAGUGUGCUUGGGAUACCUGGCCAUGCAUUUUCUGGAAACAAGCCAGAAAAUCCUCUCUUUGUAUAUGAAGGAUCAUUUCCUCUGGACCUUACUAAAAUCUGCUCCACCGUGCAGCUUUGGACUGCUCAUAAGCACCAGGUGCUGCUCUUGGACUAGGUUCUAAAGGAAAAGGCAACCUGUAUGAACUGGACACUCAGCUACCUGCAUUCCUUGGCGUGCCUUCUGAGAUGCACAACCAGCACACCUUGAAUUCACUGAUGGGGGAUUAUGUUGCCUAGCAUCAAUCGCUGCUGGUACAGGCAUGAGAAAAUUACCAUUUGCAGAUGUUCGUAUCGAACUGAACAUACGGUGGUUCGCAUAUCCAGAAAUUUGAUCAAAUCAAACCAAACCAGUCUCCCGCUCAUGAGUGUGAACAACUCAAUUGAACACUUUGUGUUCACUGUAGUUUUCCCCUUGAGAGGGGAAUUUUGUUUGUUUUGAACAAGUUCAAAACUGAACAUGGUCAACCAUUUGUUCAAUUAAAUGCUUUGCCAGUGAACUGAACAAAUGAGUGGGUUUUAGUUCAAUGAACACACAGUUUUUGUUUGUGCACAUUUCUUGCUGAUCCCUAAGGAUUGUUUUUUUUUAUUUUUUGUGGGGUUUUUUUGCUUUUGAUUCUUUGAAUCUGCUAUGUGCAUUAAUUGUGUUUUUCGUUGCUGUUAAGCUUUCUGGUAUACAGUCUUAAAUAUUUUAUUUUUUUGCACUAACAUUUGAUUAAUUUUUAUGUUGUUAGCAACUGUGUAUUUUUGUAUUUUUAAGAAAAAAUGGGCUUCAAAAUCAUCACAAUAAAAUUUAAAUAGAAAAUGAAACA